AGUCAUUUAAUUGAUGACUUGURUGAAAGAUUGGAUGAGAUAUAUUCUGUCUCUUAAUUAAAAAUAGAAUUUAAUUUUUUUAUUAAAAAGUUAAAAUAAUUUAAAAAGACGAGAAGACCCUAUAGAGUUUUAUAAAUAGGUUAAAUAAGAUUAUUUAUAUUUAUUAUAUCAAAAUUAAUUUAUUUAUUAUAUUGGGGKGAUAGAAAAAUAUAUAUAACUUUUUUUUUAAUAUAUAACAUUUAUAAGUGAUUAGUUGAUCCAGUAUUAUUGAUUAUAANAAAAAAUUACCUUAGGGAUAACAGCGUAAUUUUUUUUUUUAGUUCAUAUAAAAAAAAGAGUUUGCGACCUCGAUKUUGGAUUAAGAUAAAAUUUAAAUGU
RNAcentral lists this ribosomal RNA (378 nucleotides) under Bathytricha truncata. RNAcentral describes it as "partial 16S ribosomal RNA". Lineage: Eukaryota; Metazoa; Arthropoda; Insecta; Lepidoptera; Noctuidae. The record is from RNAcentral.